Molecule: long non-coding RNA, 941 nt
Filed under: Homo sapiens (human)
Lineage: Eukaryota; Metazoa; Chordata; Mammalia; Primates; Hominidae
Description: HSALNT0187014
Source: RNAcentral
CCCAGCCCUGGCGUGGGCCCAGCCCGGCCCAGGCAGCAAUGGGGUUCCUGCAGCUGCUGGUCGUAGCGGUGCUGGCAUCCGAACACCGGGUGGCUGGUGCAGCCGAGGUCUUCGGGAAUUCCAGCGAGGGGCUAUUGAACAUUUGUAAGAAGAUAACAAUGAGAAAUUGGGAGGGGCGGUUGACUGCUGACCAACUCAAGUAGCUGAACCAUUUUUGUUUUUAAUGUGAAGAGAAUUAUGAAGACUAGGCUAUGAUGGAUUUCUCUUAGAAUUUGGUUGUUGUGUUGAAACACAAACAGUAGAAGUAAAUUUUAGUAAAAUAGUAAAAAGGAAGAGUUGGAAAUUUUUAUGGUUGCCAGAUUAGGAUCUGAUUCGGAAAGAAAAAGGAAAGUAUUAGGAUUGGGCAGCUCUUUUUAAAGUGGAAUUAUUGGAAAGAAAAAGUGAUUCUGGGUAAGAAUGGAAGAUGGGUGUGAAAAAUUGUUUCAAGUCCCUACUAUAGGUCAGAUGGCAAAAAAAGCCAUUUCUUUUUAGAGGAAAGCUAAUGUAAGUGCCCCAACUUGAUGUUAGCCAUUUGCUUUGUAAUAUCUUUUGAUGUGCUGUCUUUUUUCCUCCUACUCUGCAAGUCAUAAGAUAUAAUUAUGCCUCAUAAAAUGCUUCUAAUAAAUCCUUUUCCAUAUGCCUUAGAGGUGAAGUUAAAUUCCUGUUAGCUUCUUCAGGAUAUUUUUUGAGUAUGUGUCUUCUUUUGCUAAAUCUGUUUUUAUGAGCAGAAAUUAAAUGAGUUUCUACCAGACUGAGCUGUUUAAGUUGUCUUGACUUUCAGUAUCUUUUGUUGUCACUCUUCGGAAGUCUCUUUCUCAACGUAAUGCUUAUGAUGUGCCUGGAAUUUCUGUGAAUGCCCUGUACAUGUUAGUUCCUUUCUUCCCACUAAUUUUUUCGUAGGG